RNAcentral lists this signal recognition particle RNA (249 nucleotides) under Chloroflexota bacterium. RNAcentral's name for it is "Chloroflexi bacterium partial signal recognition particle sRNA large type". It matches the Rfam family "Bacterial large signal recognition particle RNA". Rfam says of the family: The signal recognition particle (SRP) is a universally conserved ribonucleoprotein involved in the co-translational targeting of proteins to membranes. Archaeal SRP consists of a 7S RNA and homologues of the eukaryotic SRP19 and SRP54 proteins. In most bacteria, the SRP consists of a 4.5S RNA and the Ffh protein (a homologue of the eukaryotic SRP54 protein). The record is from RNAcentral. Lineage: Bacteria; Bacillati; Chloroflexota.
AGCUAGCGGUGCCCUGUACCCGCAAUCCGCUUCAGCGGGGCUGAAUGCCCGCCCGAGGGUCGAUGUCGGGAGCCGCUCGCCCCGCGAGGCGGCGUCGAGAGCCUGGUCCUGCGCGGCGAUAGUCCGGCCAACCCCGUCAGGUCCGGAAGGAAGCAGCGGUACGCCGGUCCUAUCGGGUGCCGCUGGAGUGCCGGGCUUGAGCUGCCGGACGGGGGGAUGCUCGUGGCGCGAUUCGACGGCGGGGCACGA